Molecule: ribosomal RNA, 254 nt
Filed under: uncultured bacterium
Lineage: Bacteria
Description: partial 16S ribosomal RNA
Rfam family: Bacterial small subunit ribosomal RNA
Source: RNAcentral
CACGGGGGGAGCAAGCGUUGUUCGGAUUUACUGGGCGUAAAGGGCGCGUAGGCGGCCAGCACAAGUCAGUUGUGAAAUCUCCGAGCUUAACUCGGAAAGGUCAACUGAUACUGUGCGGCUAGAGUGCGGAAGGGGCAACUGGAAUUCUUGGUGUAGCGGUGAAAUGCGUAGAUAUCGAGAGGAACACCUGCGGCGAAGGCGGGUUGCUGGGCCGACACUGACGCUGAGGCGCGAAAGCCAGGGGAGCGAACGGG